Brassica oleracea var. oleracea is the source of this 153-nucleotide microRNA precursor. It matches the Rfam family "MIR9555 microRNA precursor family". The record is from Rfam. NCBI's taxonomy places the organism in Eukaryota, Viridiplantae, Streptophyta, Magnoliopsida, Brassicales, Brassicaceae.
UUAUAUAUGUGUAUGUAAUUGCGGGGUUCUAAGCUUUACGGGAAACCUAACCGAAAGUUUCUUAAAUAAGAAACUUUCGGUUGGAGUUCUAAGAAACUUUCAGUUGGGUUUCCCGUAAAGUUUAGAAUCCCGCAAUUACAUACACAUAUAUAA